This 855-nucleotide long non-coding RNA is filed under the name Calidris pygmaea (Spoon-billed sandpiper). Its description in RNAcentral is "lncRNA (ENSCPGG00000016279.1)". Lineage: Eukaryota; Metazoa; Chordata; Aves; Charadriiformes; Scolopacidae. The record is from RNAcentral.
GAAAAGAAGAUCCCUGAAAAGAGAAAACCACCACCACCUACUCCACCAACAGAAGAUAUUAAAAUGGCAAAAGAACUACUUAAAGCUCCUGAAUCAAGGAAGAAAGUUGUGACUGCAAAACCUGGUGAGCCUCCAAAAUUGGAACCACCACCUGCUAAAGUGCCUGGACUUGUUAAGAAACCUCGCAAAGUAAUUCCUGAAGUUACUCCUCCACCAAAAGAAGAAGUUGUUCUAAAAAGAGGUAUAGUAACUUGGCUCUGUUUAAAAAAAAAACAACGUAUCAACAUUGUUCAGUAUAUUCCCCUAAGUAACAUUGUUUUAUGUGUGUGGUAUGGAAAAUUAUAUGAAAAAAGUACUACCCAAUGUCUGUUUCUUGGGGAGAGGCUUUAUAGUUGCAGGAAUGAAGUGGAGAUAUCCUGAAAAUCCAUCCAAAGGAUCUGUGAUGAAAACAGAGCAGAACACUGAAAGUCUGGUUCCCUAUAACUCUCUUCUGUUUUCUUAAUCUCUGUAAAGCCUAUACUAGAGUUGACAGUUUUCCACUGCCUUCAGCUUCUGGACCCCUAAAUAUUUUCCAGUGACAGUAUAAAUGCUAUUAAAUUCACAUAUGUAGCAUCUGUAUUCUCUUCUAUGGUUUACUCAGAAGUACUGCACAGAUGUGGUACCCGGUGGUACUAUUGGACAUCAGUUUCCAGUCUGUACCUUUCUGAAUCAAUUCAUGCUCAAUUAUUGAUUAGAAAAUGGUACCACUAAUUUCAAUUCUCUUUGAAAUACCAUAGAGGGAUGAUUCAUGCCCAUGUACCUUGCAGCCAACCUUCAAACUUCAAACUUAAUAAAAUAUAGAUACUGAGUUUUUCA